AUGGGGUUCCUGGCCGCCUUCUCGAACCUGCUCGCCCUGAUUUCCGCCGCAUGUAGCAACGCGGGGAAGCUGCCGGCUGCUCUCAUCUCCUGCGGCGGCGUCGAUGCAGCUGCGGCGCUCUGCCUCGUCAUAUCCAAGGCGCCCGGAGGUAUAUUUCUCCACCACGGCAAAGCACCCUUCUUCUUGUACUACGGCAUCCUCGUCGCCGUGUUCGUCUUCGGGCUGGUCUAG
Molecule: ribosomal RNA, 231 nt
Filed under: Triticum aestivum (bread wheat)
Lineage: Eukaryota; Viridiplantae; Streptophyta; Magnoliopsida; Poales; Poaceae
Description: partial small subunit ribosomal RNA
Source: RNAcentral